This 6000-nucleotide long non-coding RNA is filed under the name Sus scrofa (pig). RNAcentral describes it as "lncRNA (ENSSSCG00000053879.1)". Lineage: Eukaryota; Metazoa; Chordata; Mammalia; Artiodactyla; Suidae. The record is from RNAcentral.
AGAAGUGGAGCUGAGGGGGGCGUGAAGGUCAAAGCAUUUGCCCGAAUUCCCUUUUUGUGUUCUGACAGCCCCUCUUCCAUCCUCUGGGUGAGAAGCAGCCGAACAAUGACUGGGCACCAGCACGGUGCCCAGUGGAGGCGACAGUGGGGCCACGGAAGCCGAGGGACGGGCGCUGAACCGGGCAGGCCGGCACCGAGUGCUCCAAACGUUAAAUGUGGCAGCUGCUGAGAUGGCUGUGACCCUCCGAGGCACAGCCCCGGGUGGGGCUCCUGCCGGGAAAGCCCCAUGGGCCAAGGCCAUGCGUGGCCCUGAGGCCCCACCGCCAAGGCCGGCUCCAGAUCCCCUGAUGCAGGACACCCUCCGACCCCAGGAGGUGACCCCAGCACCGCGGACACGAUCCUGCCAGCUGGUCAGUGUCUCUCUUGCGCCUGCCCCCUCCCCAACAGUGGCAGAGAUGGUGCCCCACUCCUGCCUGGCAGAAGGUGGGCGGGCGGCCCCAUGAUCUCCUCCCAGGCUGCGUGGCCGGCCUCGUGCCCAGCUGCACAUGUCUGGGGGCCGAGGACCACCGGGCCUGAGCCUCAGUGCAGAGGUCACCACACCGCCUGCUGGCCUGCCUUCCGGGAUGGCGGGGAGCCCAGGCGCCUGCCCUCGGCCAGUGGACGGUGGCGGCUCGAGGCCUCGUGCGAUCCGCUGCGGAGCUGCCAGGGCCGCCUGGACCCCUUCUCCUACUUAGGAAGAUCCGGCCAGCGGAGUGGCUCGCUCACGGGGAGCAGCAGUGACCUCACCUCCGCUUUAUGAAUAAAACUGGAACAGGCGCCCACUCGCUGGAGACCCCGCAGCUGCGCCUCCUCCUCAGAGGAGCAUCCUUGGGCCCCAGUGACUUCCUGAACCAGCGGGCUCCUCCGUACACCGCCCUCCCGGCUCCCUCGGCCCCGUCUCGCCCGCCUUCUCCAUCCUCCGUGGGUGAGGCCUCAGCUUCUCACUUGCUCUUGGCCAGGCUGCAGCCUGCUGCUCAUGGGGCGAGGGGCGGGGGUACAGGGGUCAGGACCCUGAGCCUGGGCCACCUUCUCCUUGCUCCUUGGGGUCCUGACUGGAAAUGGGGAGCAGGGCCCCCUCCGAGGCUUGGUGGGGGCUGCUGCCAGGUCCAGACCUAGAACUCAGGACCCAUCUCCUCCAGGGGAUGGCGGUCGUGCCCUCGUGGUGGCCCCUGUCUCAGUUUUGGAGGCCUGAGCUGAUGUGGCAGCCCUGUAGGACAAGGGCACAGGGCCUGCUCGUCACCUGCGCCCCAGCCCCUGACGUUUGAAGCUUCCCCACUGGAGUCAGGUUGCCAGCGCCUGGCAGAGGGGCGCCCCACCGGCACGGCCCGUCCUGCCCUCUGGACCACCGUCCUGCCCUCUCCAGGACGCAGGUCUCUUCUGCCCCCCAGUGUCCCCCAGGAGCUUUCUUGGCCCAUUGUCUGUGACACCCAGCCCUGGGCUCCGCUGGCAUGUGACCACAGCCCUGGAGGUGGGGGCUGGGUCUGAAUGAGCACAGGGCUCCCCCGCCCUGCCGGAAGCCAGCAGCAGGCUCUCUGGGCUCCGCUCCACCCCGGGACUUACAGCCACCAGCCCCAGGGGGGGACUGGGAGGACCCAGAGCCCGGGGCCUGGGUGGGAGGGGGCCGAGGCAGGGCAGGUGGCUGCUAGGCCCCCGGCCCUGUGGUCUCUGAGGGCGGAACUGGCCUCGGAGGGGUCUCAGCUCUGGUCCCUGUGUGUGCCCGCCUGCUGGGUGACGGGGGCGCAGCCCUGAUGUUCCCCCAGGAGCCCCUGGACCAGCUGGAGUCUGCACUUGGCGGAGCCCUGCUCUGACACUCACCCCCACACUGUGCAGUGAGUCAGCUCCUCGUCCCCCUCCACCCCCGGCACCACUGUCACCGUGGCCUGGACCUGCACUGCACUGGGCUUGGGGCAGAGGCGGGGAGGGGGAGUGCGGAGGCCACAGAGUCACUGAGUCACACGAGGGGGAGGGGGAGGCCGGCAAAGGGAUAUGAGCGAAACCCACACGGACCCCGGGCUCGCUGGUCUUGCCCUCCUCCUGAACUAAGCAGACGCGGGGGCCAGGGUCAGGGUUCAGAGUGGGCCCAAGGUCAGGGUCAGGGUCGGCUCAGGGGGUGACCAGGGUCAGGGCUCACCCACGCUGGGCGCAGCAGAUCCCUGACUGCAGGCUGAUCAGGAACCUUCCAACCCAGAGGUCUUGGUUGGGGCCGCCUGCACUCCUCAUGAAUCCAGCAGAGGGCACUGUGCCGCCCCCACGGACAGAACACAGAGCCCCUGGUCCGGAAGGGUCUGCGGGGGCCCGGGGGGUGGGGGAGACACGCUCACUCACACACCCUUAUCCCCAGGCUGGGAGACCAUCCUGGAGAGGGUGUGACAGAGGGGUGACAACCACACCUCACAGCUGGGCCUCUGCUGAGGGCGGGUGGGAGCAGCCAGGGACACCCAGACCCCUCGGGCCCCACCCUUCGUGCCUCUGGCUCCCUUCCCACUGGCGCUACUCACAGCAGGGAAGUGGGACUCGUCCCCGGCCGGGGCCAGGGCGACAGGCUUUUGUACCUGCUGAGUCUCUCAGCGGGAUGUGGCAGUUCCCCCUCUGAGCCCGGGGUCUCCAACCCACCCUUCGGGCACUGCCCAGGAAUCCUUUCCUUCCCAAGGCCUGGAGGGGCGGGCAUAUGGCAGGCACCACCCAGCAGGAAGUCUCUGGUCCAGCGUGGGCCUCGGGACCCUCCGUGAACAGGGAAACCGUAGGCACGGUCCCCGCACCCACCUGCCUGGACUGGCCUGUCCACCUGGGAGGCCGUGCGCCCAGCAGGCCCGCUCAGGUGGCGAGGUGGCCGGAGGGCGGGGGAGCCCAGGGCCACGAGCUCUAGCUGAGACGGAGGCCCAGGCAGCUGCUCUGGCUGCUGUCCUCGGUCUCGGGUAACGGGCAGUGGGUGACCUGCUCCUCGGUCUCAGGCAGGGAAAUCUGGAAACAUCUGGUUUCUCCCAGAGUCCUCGGGCCAGUACUGCCCACGGAGCCGUGUGACCUCGGCCAGGCCCUGCUCCUCAGGCUCUGAAGGGCACAGAGGGAGCCACAGUCAGGGAGGCGGUGCAGGGGCGGAGGGUGCGUGCACACAGGAGGGGCUGUCAGCCGGGGCUGGGAGAGGGCGCGGGACAGGUCGGGAGGCUGGGAGAGGACCAGGGCCACGCGGUCCAGCACCCAGCCUAGAGCAGACCCUCCGGCCCGCCGGCCCACAGGCCCCCAUCCUAGGCUCUGCUUGUCCCAGGGCUCUGCCCCCCGCCACACCAAGUCUCCCGCUGGCCAGGGGCGGCCCAGCACAGCUCCCCACCCCACCAGCUUCUCCCCUCCCCCAUCACUGCCCUCAGGAGUGGCAGGAGGGCUCAGGCACGCUGACCACCUGCAGCGCUGACUCGGGACCCAGGUAGCUCGCCGGCCUCCUCUGCAGCAGAAGCAGGCCCUUGUGUCUGGGGCCCAGCGCACCACGGUCACGGUCACAGUCACGGUCGAGCAGGAGGACGCCCAGGUGUGCAGGGCAGGGGGCGUGCACGGGGCCUGUGGGAGCUCAGCCCGCAGCAGUGGAUGGUGGAGGCGGCCCCCUCGGGCCUUUUUGAAGAGCUUUUUUCCUAUGGGGCCGGAGCUGGGAGACCACGAGGGGACCACAUGGCCCUCCCUUGCCCCCCAGGCCCGUCCCCCUCCCCUCCCCCAUCUCUGAGCCAACGCUUCGACCCGGGACCCAUCGUAUGUCUGACACAAGGGCUUUUGGAAAACACGCCCACACACCCUAGCGCACCGCGUUCCUGGUGGGGGCAGAGGCCCGGCCACCGUCGGUUGCCCGGGUGACUCGCAAGCGUCCUUUCAGCUGGUGUUUUCAGAUCCAGAGGGCACGCGGGCCUGCACUGCCCGUGUUGGUUCCUGGCGGCCUCCCGUGGUCCCGGCCUCGAGACUGCCAGGAGAUGUGCCCUCUGUGCUGUGGCCGCGAGGCAGACACCGCCCCAGGAAACCUGUCACAGCAGCUCCCCAUAAGUGUUCCGGACAAGUGCCAGGGCCUCGCCUGGCCCAUCUCAGGGUCAGCGAGGAGAGGCAAGGACCAAGGCAGGGACACACCUUUCCACCCCGCUGCAUGCCCCCAGGGUCCCGCGCCACCACACUCUGGCCCGUGGCUUGGGGGGGCCUCCUCCUCUGCCCCCAGCUGGCGGCGAGGUCCUGGCACAGGCAGGCGCUCAGCCAACGCUGUCAACAGGAGGAGGAACAGAAGGGGGCACCGGACAGAGGGAACAGCACGCGUGAAGGAGCAGGGUGUUGGAGCGUCAAGCACUGGUGUCAGCGCCGUGGCAAGGGGAGGUGACAAGGGAGGGCGGGACUGGCAUCCUCAGCUCCACCCUCCCGGCUGAGACACCCCUGACACUGCCAGCAGCUCACCAGGACCCUGGGCCUGUCGGCUCCCCGUCCCCUCUGGGGGAUUCGUGGGUGCUUCCCCCUCAAGCCCCCGUGAGCCCCAGGUGACUGAGCCAUGGGGUCCCAGGCCUGGACUGCAGGCCACAUGGCAGAGGAUGGCAGGAGCCCUGGGCACCACUUCCUUCAAGGUGGCCCCCAGGGGCCAGGCAGAGGGAAGGCGUGAUGGCGACGAGGUGACAGGAAUGCCCCCCCCAUAAGCUCCCUGUCCCGAGCACCUACUGUGGCGAGCCAGGUGCUGUCUCAGGCCCUGAAGCAACCACAACGAAUCCCGCCUCGGGGCGUCUUCUGCCUGUUGUCCCCCUGCUCCCGGCCCUCCCCCCCGCCCAUAGGGUGGGCUGCCCUUGGGUGGGGGCACCCAGGUGGGGCUGUGCAGAGAGACCGGCUGUCUGGGUCCGAGGCUGGCUGCCCGUCCCUUGGGCCCCGGGGUCCUGCCUGCCCACUGGACCGAAUCAAAGUCCAGUAACGAAGCGGGAGAAACUCCUCAGCCUGGACCCCGGGAUUGGGGGGCGGGCAGAGAAGAGGGUGACUGAUGACCAGUCACAUGGCCAGGCUCAAGGAAGUUGAUGAAGGGACACGGGGGAGGUGGUGGGCCAGCCUGGCCUGCACUCCCUAACCCCACGCAGCUGGCCCGAGCACGCAGACCAGACCGUGGCCCUACCCAACCCAGGGGUCCGACCUCCCAGCCCCUCCCAGUUUCCCCAGGCCUGAAUCCCCCCCAGACGGGGCAUCGGAAUGUGUCCCUGCCUCGGCCGCAGCGGGCGCUUGGCGAGCGUCUGCUGAGAGAUGGACCAAGGCCCCAGGCUCCCCGCCCAGCCUGGCGCCCGCCCGUCCUUCCUGCAAGCUCCGCCCGGAGCACUGCCCUGCAUCUCCCGGGCAUCCGGGCGCUGCGCAGCUGUGGGGGGACGAGAGGGCCAGCCAGCGGCGUGCCCCCUGCCCGGUGCGGAUUUCUCAGGCCGCAGUGCCCCGGGGACUCCGGUGACAUCACCCACCUUUGUCCCUCCUGGAGCUUCCUGGUGGCCUCUCCUCUGAGGCUCUGAGCCCUCUGCCCAGAGUCUGCAGGUCCCAACCAGCAACUCCUUGUGUAACUUUUUUAAAAUUGUGGUCACACGCACACUAAAAUUCAUCAUUUCACCCACUUUAAGUGUGCGGUGCAGGGGCACGGAUUAUAUUCACAAUGCUGCACAACCACCAGCACUGCUUCCGGAACCUCUCCUCCCUCCGAGCCCUGGAGUGGCAGGUCCCACGCCCUCGCCCAGCCCUGGCGGCCCCGGUGCUCCGGCAGCCCUGCACAGCGCCGCGGGACUGUGGCUUGCGACGGAGGGCCCCAGACUCCGAUCGGAGGCCACAGAGAGCCCAGCCAGCAGGUCCUGGCCCCCGACCCACCUUCGCUCUGACCCGGGGAACCCCGGUGACCGCCCCCCACUCUCCGAGCUGGGACAGAAGACACGGAGGCCGGAGAAGAAGACGCCUAAGGCCAAUGGCCAUUCACUUAACGGGCUACUUUGAGCAG